This is a non-coding RNA of Cajanus cajan (pigeon pea), 2613 nucleotides long. NCBI's taxonomy places the organism in Eukaryota, Viridiplantae, Streptophyta, Magnoliopsida, Fabales, Fabaceae. The record is from RefSeq and is a predicted model, not a curated record.
GGAGUCACAUUCAUUUUCGGAUUCCCAAGUACUUCUUCAAAGUAAGGCCAUUCUUUGGGUCAGAGAUUUUUGUCCACAAUGAGGGCAUUAAAAUUGGGGUUGAUAUAUCUGUUUUGCAAGGCUCCCACCUAACAUUGAAUAUUUGUCUUCAAUUGAAGAAUGUGCCACCAAACUUCUUGGUUAAGUCAACUAAGUUGUAUUGCAUCCUUUGCUGCAGCACAUCCUUCAAUGUCCCAUGUGGACAAACCAUGGGUCAAUCGCAAUGUGGAUAUGAAGCUUGGAAAGAUGAUGAAAUUGUUGAACUGAACCAGAAGUUGUUAUGCCAUGUCUUGGAUAGUGUUGCAGGCAAGAGAAGAAUUAUGCAUAACAGGGGCCAUGGUAAUAGUAGGGUUGUGGAGACAUUUAUGGAUUUUAGACCUAAUGAGAAAGAGCAGGGGUUUUCACAUUGCUCACUUGAUGUGUCUGACUUUCCUGAGGGUUCUUAUAGAAUCAAAUGGCAUAGCUGUUUGGUUGAUAGUCAGGAUUCCUAUUGGAGUCUCCUUCCUUUGAACUCAGGGCCUGUAUUUAAUAUAAAACCCACAGUGGAUAGGAUAGAAUCUCAUAAAGCAUAGCCAUUAAAAUAAACAUUACGCAUAUGAAGCAUCUCACUUUAGUAUUAUGCUAUUGUCCUUUUCAUUUUCAUUUAUCUGAUUAAGCAUUAUGCAUAUGAAGCAUGCUCAGUUGCUGGCCAAUUGAUCCUGAACUCAAGGUUGGUCCAUUAUUUUACUUUUCUUUCUUUCAAAUUUUCUGCUUCAAUUUAUGACUACAAUUUCAUCAUGUUGCUGAUGCUAUCACCUAUCUAUUUAGCUGUUGUACAGUGAGCUUGGGCUCUUCCCACUUUGAGACUGAUUUUUAAGCUGUUGUUCAGUAGCAAUUUUUUCCUUUUUGGUUGGCUACUAUUCAGGACCAAAAUGCUCACCAUUCAAUUCUACAGCAACUUAGGAUGACUCUCUUUUGGAGAUAAAAAAAAAUUGAUUUGGUAAAUAAAUGUGCCUUUGAAGUUGAGAAGAUCUAUCAUGGAAAGCUGGUUGGAUUUGACUACACAGCUAGUACAUAUGGACUAUGGUAGACCACAUCCAUUUUGAACACGUCUUUCUGAAUUUUACUGUAUUUAAAUUAAAUUCAGUAGUUGCUAGCUUUCUUUCAUUGAAAGUUGUGGAAAGGAAACUACCAAUCAUGCUUAAGGAUUGAAAUCUAAGCUUUGGAAUCUGAGGGUUGAAUUUUAUUUUAUUUUUUAAUCAAAUUAAACAUGAUUCUUCUAUAUAAAGCAAGUUUGUGUUAGUUGUUUUUAUGCAUAUCUCAGAAAGGAGCAGAACACUAAAAUUAGAGAAGAAUGUGAUUAUCAAUGAUUCUUCUAUAUAAAACAAGUUUACCUUGGUUGUUAAAAUUUUGCAAUCACCUUUGUUGUUUCUAAUAAAGAUUGCUUAAACUUAGUAGCUAUAAUUUAGGCUAUUACAUGUAAUUCUUUCCUUGAGUUCGUCCUACUUGCCCACUUAUAUAUUCCUCAUCAAUAUGACAUCCACUAUGUUAUAUUCCUUAUCUAUAUGAAUAUCCACUUCUGAGUAUCAAGAACUUCCAUUCAUGGUUAUUUUCAUACUGGCAUCAGAUGUUUUCCUCGAAUCAACAUAACUUCUUGUUUUUGAGUGGCAGUGCCUUGCAAAUUAGAGAGGCACUUAGUUGCAGCUAGAUGUUCAGAGUCGUCUUCAUGAAUAGCAAGAGGUAUAUUUGUUUUAUCUUAUAAAUUUUUGGCUACUUAAUCUUCAUGUUCUCCAAACCUUGCAGGUUCAUACUUCAGACUUGUUAGUUAUAUUCUCUUCACAAUGUUCUCUGGCGUCAAAUUUCUUUCUAUUUACUUUACUGGUUCCAGACCCUGCUAAUUUGUCAUGUAUCUUUAAUUGAUGUUUCAAAAAGGAAUAAUACGUUUUCUUUCUUCCUUUUUGAUUGCUGAGUCUACGACUUGUAUGAGCGAUGGUUCCUCAUCUUUCUUAAGGAUUGAGAAACGGCGACAGUUUCCACAUCUGAAACAAUUGUUUGGCCUUGCAUCUGCUGGCAGCCUGGCACUGUUGAGCUUGGAAAUAUAGUUGAGUCACCUGUUCUUCAAACUGCAACUUCAGUUGUUCCUUUAGGAUGGAAUGAUGGACCUGGAGCGAAAGAUAGAGAACCUCAAAAUUGAUAUAUUGGUUUUUGGGUUGCAUCCAUGUACACUUGUUCAUGUUCAAGUGAAUGGUAACUGGUAUUGUCAUUACCACAUAAAACAUCACCAUUUAUUGGUACAGUUUUAUUGUAAUAACUUUUCUAGGGAUUAAUUGAAUCUGUUUAGAUUUGUGGGUGGAAUGUAGGGCAAGCCUAAGGCCUAAGGCAGAGCAAGAAUUAGAAGUUACAAUGGUCGUAAAUAUGGACUGUUAAAUUCUAGAAAAUAUCAAGGUUUCUAGGAUUUCAUUAAGAAAUCUGUUAGAGAAACAAGGAGUAUAUUGACUAGCAUUCAUUUAUAGAUUCUAUGCAUAAACAUGCUUGUAAUCCUGUACAUUAUCUUUAUUCUAUACUAUACCAUAAAGAGGAUAUUUCACUAUUUCA